RNAcentral lists this ribosomal RNA (551 nucleotides) under Penicillium janthinellum. Its description in RNAcentral is "LSU rRNA". It matches the Rfam family "Eukaryotic large subunit ribosomal RNA", at positions 86 to 652 of the family's 3401-position model. The record is from RNAcentral. Lineage: Eukaryota; Fungi; Ascomycota; Eurotiomycetes; Eurotiales; Aspergillaceae.
ACGGCGAGUGAAGCGGCAAGAGCUCAAAUUUGAAAGCUGGCUCCUUCGGGGUCCGCAUUGUAAUUUGCAGAGGAUGCUUCGGGAGCGGCCCCCAUCUAAGUGCCCUGGAACGGGCCGUCAUAGAGGGUGAGAAUCCCGUCUGGGAUGGGGUGCCCGCGCCCGUGUGAAGCUCCUUCGACGAGUCGAGUUGUUUGGGAAUGCAGCUCUAAAUGGGUGGUAAAUUUCAUCUAAAGCUAAAUACUGGCCGGAGACCGAUAGCGCACAAGUAGAGUGAUCGAAAGAUGAAAAGCACUUUGAAAAGAGAGUUAAACAGCACGUGAAAUUGUUGAAAGGGAAGCGCUUGCGACCAGACUCGCUCGCGGGGUUCAGCCGGCCUUCGGGCCGGUGUACUUCCCCGCGGGCGGGCCAGCGUCGGUUUGGGCGGCCGGUCAAAGGCCCUCGGAAUGUAACGCCCCCCGGGGCGUCUUAUAGCCGAGGGUGCCAUGCGGCCAGCCCGGACCGAGGAACGCGCUUCGGCUCGGACGCUGGCAUAAUGGUCGUAAGCGACCCGU